This 586-nucleotide long non-coding RNA is filed under the name Ananas comosus (pineapple). RNAcentral describes it as "long non-coding RNA (ACOM_LNC017478)". Lineage: Eukaryota; Viridiplantae; Streptophyta; Magnoliopsida; Poales; Bromeliaceae. The record is from RNAcentral.
CUUUUUUUAAUCUCAUAGAUCAACUACUUUAAAAUAGGAAAAACUUCAAAUACUCUCCUGUGAUUUCGCACUUUAUUACUUUAGUAUCCUCUGGUUUAAAGUGUGUCAAGUUAGUACUAUGUGGUUUCAUACUUUCACACUUUAGUACCCUGUGGUUUAAAGUGUUCAAGUUAGUACCAUGUGGUUUCGCACUUUUUUACUUUAGUAUCAUGUGGUUUAAUAUUGCGUUAAAUUAUAUACAAAAACUUCCGAUACUUAAUCUAGGUUUAUCGAAUAUUUAUUUUAGUACCAUUUAGUUUUAAUUUUGCCACUGAUUUAACGAAAAAAAUAUUCUGAAAUGGAUAAGAAAAAGAGAAAAAUGAAACCAUAGGGAACUAACUUGAUACAAAAAUAAAACCACAUAGACACAUAGUACUAACUUGAUACACUUUAAACCACAUGAUAUUAAAGUGAAAAAGUGCGAAAUUAUAGAGUACUAACUUGAUACACUUUAAAUUAACUACAGAAUACUAAAGUGAAAAAGUACGAAACCACAUAGAAGUAUUUGAAGCUUUUCUUUUAAAAUAAACAAGGAGAGUCAACGGUU